UACGGAGGGUGCAAGCGUUGUCCGGAUUUAUUGGGUUUAAAGGGUACGUAGGUGGAUCCUUAAGUCCGUGGUGAAAGCCUGCAGCUUAACUGCAGAACUGCCAUGGAUACUGGGGAUCUUGAAUUCAGUUGAGGUUGGCGGAAUUUAUGGUGUAGCGGUGAAAUGCAUAGAUACCAUAAAGAACACCUAUUGCGAAGGCAGCUAACUGGACUUGAAUUGACACUGAGGUACGAAAGCGUGGGGAGCGAACAGG
This 253-nucleotide ribosomal RNA is filed under the name uncultured bacterium. RNAcentral describes it as "partial 16S ribosomal RNA". It matches the Rfam family "Bacterial small subunit ribosomal RNA", at positions 524 to 776 of the family's 1533-position model. The record is from RNAcentral.